RNAcentral lists this ribosomal RNA (778 nucleotides) under uncultured Neocallimastigales. RNAcentral's name for it is "partial large subunit ribosomal RNA". It matches the Rfam family "Eukaryotic large subunit ribosomal RNA", at positions 24 to 627 of the family's 3401-position model. Lineage: Eukaryota; Fungi; Neocallimastigomycota; Neocallimastigomycetes; Neocallimastigales. The record is from RNAcentral.
UAUCUCUGUAGAGUCUGCAUAUCAAUAAGCGGAGGAAAAGAAACUAACAAGGAUUCCCUUAGUAACGGCGAGUGAAGCGGGAAGAGCUCAAAUUUGAAAUCUUCAAGGUUCUACCUUGACGAAUUGUAGUUUAAAGAAGUGUUUUCUGUUGGAGUUUUGGUAAAAGUUCUUUGGAAUAGGACAUCAUAGAGGGUGAGAAUCCCGUAUUUGACCAUUAUUUCCAACUUUGUGAUACACUUUCAAAGAGUCGGAUUGUUUGGGAAUGCAGUCCAAAAUGGGUGGUAAAUUUCAUCUAAAGCUAAAUACUGGCGAGAGACCGAUAGCGAACAAGUACCGUGAGGGAAAGAUGAAAAGAACUUUGAAAAGAGAGUUAAACAGUACGUGAAAUUGUCAAAAGGGAAGCGUUUGACACCAGUGUUGUCUUCUCGAAAAUCAAUUAAAAAUGGCGGGAUUUUGUGUUGUAUUGACUUUAUCAGCUUUCUGCACUUUUUUCCUGUCUUUUUUAAUGCACUUUUCGUUUAACAAGUCAACAUCAAUUUCUUUUGUUGUAAAAGGGUAUGAGGAAGGUGGCUUUCUUUUCGGAGAAAGUGUCUAUAGCCUUGUACCUUCUGCAAUCGGAGAGAUUGAGGUCUGCAGCGUAGAUCCUUCGGGGUUAGAUGCAUUUGUGCUAAGUUAUAGCCUUUUCAUAGACAACUUGUUGACUAUGAUUAAGUCAUUGUAGUUUACUCGCUUAUGCUAUUUUACCUACGCUUAGGAUGUUGAUGUGAUACUGCGAGCA